This is a long non-coding RNA of Coturnix japonica (Japanese quail), 4769 nucleotides long. RefSeq lists it as uncharacterized. The record is from RefSeq and is a predicted model, not a curated record. Lineage: Eukaryota; Metazoa; Chordata; Aves; Galliformes; Phasianidae.
CAGCCUGCUGGGUAAUGUAGUGCCGGAAGUGGCUGGUGGGGAUGGGGCCUUCAAGUUAGAUCUAUGUCGAUGGAGCAAGCAGAAAGGCUGUUAUGAUCGACUCCCCCCUCCCAGCCCUGCUCAGGGCCAGCUGUAAGCAUAGCCCUGCUGAAAGCCCUGGCAGCCCUGAGGAGGGAGGAAUCCAACCUCCAGAAUGUGCUCCGGGCUGACAGCGCUCACCGCACAGCGAUGAGAGAGGAAAAGCUCUUCUGGCCUUUGGGCAUAGCUAACACCACAGCACAGCAAUCCCUUGGUCAGGGUCCAGAACUCUUCCAGGUCUCCUGGUUUCAAUGAGGACCUUCUGCUCUGACUCACGCCUGGGAAUCAUCAUCCUCAGCAGUGGGGCUGUGUUGCAGUGCUGGGGUGGGGGGAGCUCCAUCUCUGGGUACGGUGCCUUCCACCCCAACAGGACGGCCCUGGGCACCCUGUGCCUUCGAAGAAACUUCAAAGUAACAGCACAGCACCUCCUGCUAGCGGGGAGUGCUGAUGAAUUAUAGAAUGGACCCACCCACUCUCACUUUAAUCUGUCAUGUUCUAUGGAAAUUAAGCCUUUCUCUUACAAGCAGGCAAUUUGUGCUCUUGGCAUCUCCAGCGAGAGCGAGCUCUCAGCUCUUCUGCUGGGUUAUUGAUACCUUUUGUAUAGAGCAGUGCAGCGCCUAAUUGGGCUCUUUGUCUGUUCCAACGCGCUUCCAGCAAGCAGAACCUACAGCAGCCCUUAGCACAAAGCAGCUCGUGGUGCAAUGGGGAGAAGCAGGGCAUGAAGAAAACACAUCCUGGGCAAACAGUCACCUCUCCCCUAAGUGGCUCACAGGUGCAAGCCCGGCUGGUGCACACAGGUGUGUUUUCCUUGCUCUGAUCUGGGCUAGAGCUAUAAACAAGCAGGCAAUCCCCGAGCAAGAAAGGGCUCCUUGUGUGCUGCGAGUACUUGUGCCAAGCUGGGGGAGUGUGGGGGUUUUAUGCCCCUCCUUUCCUGUGUGUUAAGAAGGCAUCUCGCUGCUGGACCUCGCAUCCCUGCCAGCCAGAGUGCAGCUCUUUGAAGAGGCUGCACCUGGAAGGAAGGAUGGAAAAGGCUGGAGGGAGCUGGGGGUGCCCACAGCCGUGGGAGGGAGCGUGGCAAUGCAGUGCGUGGGAUUGCAUCCGUGCCCAGGUGGUGCCGGGAAGAAUUGUACCUUUUCAUAGAGCUGGGUGAGGCUGGAGGCGAUGUCUGUGCCCUGCGUGCUUUGAGGAGUUGGGGGGUGCUGUGUAUCCGGUCAUAAACUGCUUCAGGAAUGAGGGUGGGGAGUCCAAAACCCAUAGGUGGGGGAAACUAGUGCCAGGGUCACGCGGCAACUAUGUUAAAUGCUUAAAUCCUUCCUUCUGCCACUUUGGGUCCUUCUCUGCUUCAAAGGGGGGCUUGGAGGCAAGGGAACUGCUGGUUUGGGGGGGGGGGUUAUUAUUAUAGUAAAUGAAGUUUGACCUUCUUAUAGGGUGAAGGACAAAACCAUAUUCACCCAAGGAACUUUAGCCAGGAGAAUGAAUAGGACAAAGCACAAGCCAUCUGUCCACAGCAUCCUCCAUCUUCCCAAUCAAAGCUGCCCUACGCAAGUGGGUUCCUUACACAUAUCUCCUGCAAAACCUACACCCUCACACCAUGCACCUACAGUGAUUUGUGUCCCAGAGCAUCUCCAAUUUGCAACGGCUGGGACAUCUCCAGCGGCACCAUGGGGCUUGUGCAGAGCUGGAUAUGGGGCCUGGAAACCCAUGUCUGAGGCAGGAAGAGGAAGAGCACCCAAGUGGAGUGGAAGGCUUGCUGUAAGGCAUGGAAGGAAGGAGCUGCACCAAACCCAUAGGCUCCUAUCGAGCUCAUCAGCUCUUCAAAGUGAGCAUGCCAGUCAUUACUGAGGGGAGGGAAGGAGAAGGUGAUGAGCAGCAGUGAACAGAGCUGGAUGAAGGGAGGGAUACUGUGAGGGUGUGGGGCCAGUGGGUUGGGGUCUGAAUGUCUAACUGAUUUCAGUAGAGAACCAGCAGAGCCAUUGAGAUGUAUCAUUGGGGUUCAAGAGCAGAAGAAAAAUUCCUUACCCUGAGGUAAGCUGACUCUUUGUUGAGGAUUUUACUUGCUUUGGUGGUACCAGGCGGCCAGGAGAGGAGCAAGGGGAGCAGCAGCAUUAGGAACAAACCCUGGCCAAGCCCAGCAUGUGCCAUGAGAGCUGAUGGUUUACAUUAGAGAAGGCUCUAAUAUUGUGUGAUGGCCUUUAAGUGCGUUUUUAUGAUAAUGAUGAUAAUUUUCAACUGAGCAAAUGGCAGAAAUGCAGGCAGGGUAUUGGAAAGGGCCAUUUGGCUCCAAGUACAACAUCCAGUGGUGCUGCUGAGCCCCUGCCAGAGGGACUGCUGCUGUGCUGCAGGGACGGCUCCCUGCCCCGACUGCACGCUGCUCCCCACUGCUGUAAACUUGCUGUUUGGGCAAUGAUGAGGGUUGCAUAAGCAGGAGUCAGUGUCAAUUUGCUGUUUUCUCCUCCCUUGGAGCAAAGAAUGGUGUGUUUAGAAGCUCUGUUGACACCCCUCUCCCAACAUCAGAGCGCUUCUGAGCUUUUCCCUUUGCAGAACAGCUCACAGGAGAGCCCUGCUUUCAGCUCCCCUCAGCCCCACGCCGCCCUGUGAUCCCUUUCCCCCCCCUCUAGACAAAAUAACAAGCUCUCUCCUUUCUCAGGACCGCACGCUCCUUUUCCAGACUCUCCUCAGCUCUUUCAUCACGCCAAUAAAGAAAGCAAGCCAAUGCAUCACACAUUGGCUGCACAGAGCGGAAACCCUUAAACAUCUGAGAGCCGGGAGCGAGGCGCUGUGAUUUGCAAGGCCCCCGCUGCCCCCGUUGGGUCAGAUGUCUCUUGCCCUGAAGGAAGAGAGAGGGGGACUUGUUAAAACCUUUCCUAUUUCUCAGCCUGAGGUCCCGUUUUGGCUGUCCGGAGGCUGAGGCGUGAGCCGGGAGUGGGGCUGCCAAGGGGGCAGGGCAGCGAGCCCGCGGCGUGCAAACAGAUUGUGCAAUAUUUGCCUUGCACAGAGCUCCCAUUGUACAGCCUGGGAGUUCUGCUUUCAAUAAUUCCCCUGCUCAUAAUGCCCCAUUGACGGCGAGAGAAAGGCGGUAUUGAGGGCUGAAGGGGCUCCGGCUCUGAAAAGGGUUAAAAACUAAAGAAAAAAAGGGGUGGAGGUGAGGGGGGGGGAAGGAGAUUUGAGGCUUAGUUUUAAACUUUGCUGUGUGGCCCUUAUGGUAAAUUGUGGCUGCUGAGAAGUAUGCAGAGAGCUGUUUGCAUAACCCGGUGUGCAGCAAAUGCUCUUGGAGCCCAAACACAAGUGUAGCCGGAGCUGGAGGUGGUGGGGAGAGAAAGCAGGAAAGGCUGUGAUUAUUUUAAUUCUUGCCCCAGACCACAUUAAAUUAACAAUGAACAAAUUAAAAAGAGCUAAUAUUCAAAUAUUUAGUUAGAGAAGCAGCUGUGCAAAUGUGAGCUGCUGUGCCAGCUGUGGGGACAUCGGUCAAUGCUCACCACCUUGUGCUGAUGGCUGGAGAGCAUCUUAUGUACUGCUCUGGGCUGGAGAGCACCAAAAGGAGCCCUGAAGCCUCUGUCUGAUGGCUUCACUCGUUGUUGUAAAGGUAUGGUCUCAACUGGAAAGUGUCUGUAAGUGCAUAGAAGUGCUCGGUCCAGUGGGCAGAGCUGGGGGAUGCUGUGCAUGCUGUGAUGCUGCCAGCCCUGCAGCUCUCACCCCAAGGGGUUCCCCAUUGCUGUGGGCUGGCAGAACUGCCUGGGCAGAUGCAGGACCGAAGCGACUGAGGGCUUGGACUGAGAAUGCCAACAUCAGCAGCUGCAGCCAGGCGGGUUGCCAGGGGAAUCCUCCCUGUUGUGCAAUGCUGGAGCUCUCCAAGGAAGCUCCCAGCUCUUGAGACAUCUCAGAGCGAGACCGGGCAAGUGACUGUCGUGAAUUCCCAGCAGUGAGAGGGGUGGCUACAGGCCUUGAGCACUUUUUCCAUGCGUGGACCUUGUGAUGCAUUAAUCACCCCCAGAGCAGCAUUGCUGCUGGCUGCAAUUGUCCUGACCUGAACCUUAGAGCUCUCAUUUCUUCCUCUUCCUCCUCCUUCCCAGCUGCUCCCAUCUCCUGCCUCCAACAGUCCCAGCAGGACUGCUCCAAGGUUUAUGGGCAGCUACAUCUAACAUUUAUGCAUGUUAGGGGUUAGGAAAAUCUGACACAGGCUGCCCAGGGAGCUGGGGGGUCACUCUGGAGGUGUUCAAGGGGAUGGAGAUGUGGCACUGAGGGAUGCAGUCAGUGGGUGUAAUGGGAUGGGUUGGGGUUGGACUUGGGGAUCUUAGAGGUGUAUGGUACCACCUCCUCCCUGAGCAGCACCCUUCCAUCAAGUCCAGUUGUUUUCUACAAAGAGGGAAUUAUUCAAAGUUGAGGAAUUCAGGGGAGAGUGGAGAGACGUGCGGGAGGAGAGUGUGCAAAAGAGAGUGGGGAAGGGAGGAGCAGCAGAAGGAAAGAAAGAUGAACUGAUGAACCCCUGGGGAUUAAUCAGACCUUACUGAAGGGUUGCAGGGGAAGGCACAGCCAAGUGCUAAAUGUCCCCACUCCUAUGUCCCAGCGUGCCUGAUGUGGGGUGGUGGGGAGACAUGGCGUGAGGGAGAGAGCAAUGAAUGUGGGGACAGCCCAGGGAGGGGAUGCGGAGGAGUUGAGCCCAAGUAUGCAGGGGAGGGGAUGUGGAGGGCCCA